This 5783-nucleotide long non-coding RNA is filed under the name Mytilus galloprovincialis (Mediterranean mussel). Lineage: Eukaryota; Metazoa; Mollusca; Bivalvia; Mytilida; Mytilidae. The record is from RNAcentral.
CCAAGAUGGACGCCCCCUUGAAUGAAAAACUUUUAAAAUAUUCUUUGCUUUCAAGAUUACUGGUUUUUACUUUGCAGGUAUCUUGUAAAUGAAUUUAAUUCUUAAGUAAAACAAUGUUUCAUUUGCCCCAGGGUCCAAUUACCAUUGACAAGACGUCACAUUAUAAAAAUUAGUUUUCAUUUAUAUUCUAUCGCAACCCCUUCUGUCUUUCCUUGUUUAUUUGUACUUUUAAGGUUCAUGUGGACUCCUUGGCUCAAAUGGCUGAUUUCCCCCUCAAAAUUUACUCUGAAUACAGACAACCCUGUGCAUCUGAAAAAGUUUUAAGGCAUAGCAUGCAGGGCCGUAACUAGGGUUCGAAUGCAGGGGAGGCAGGGUUUGGGGGCCCGGCGCCGAUUUUUUUCUCUCAGUAAAAUGUCUAAAAAUGACCCGUUUUUCUUCGAUUUCCUUACUUAAAGAAACAUCAGUAUUGCUUGAACCUGGAAGCAAUUUUUAUGCAAAAAACAAGCUGAGAUUGCUGUUCGGGUGCGCCAAGGCUCCGUCUUGAAUGCCGUACUUUGACCUAUAAUUAUUAACCGUGACUAAAUACAUUGAAAACGCGUAUUUUUUUCUCAACAUGGCUAUAAGUAACCCGUUUUCCUUCGUUUUCCUUACGUUAAGAAACAUCAGUAUUGCUGGAUCCUGGAAGCAAUUUUUAUGAAAACAUUUAUUAUCUGUAUUUAAAGAUUUUUUUGUUAGAAAUCAAACUGGUAAGUUAAAAAAAUAAAUAAAGCAAGAUCAGAGAUCGCAAGACCUUGAAUUUCAAUAUUGUUGAAAGCUGAACAGACAUGUGUAUAACUACCACCAGGGACUUUUAAUACUAGAAUUUACUUAGUAUAGAAAGUCCCUGCUACAACGAAUGGGAGUGUUUAACUACUCGGGCAUUGACCAUAAUGUUCUCGUACGAUCCGGAGACACGUUUUAAAAAGAUGACAGCUGAUUCAGCCGGUAACGAAUUUCCAAUAUCAUACAAGAUUCACAAUACAAAGGGAACUUCCUCCGCUUAAAUGAGCCCCUAAAUAAAUGUAAAUAGUUAAGUUUUAUUCAGAAUUGUCGAAAGCAAAGUUUCAUAUGUGUUUGAAUAACAGACGGACGGCUAAACUGGAAUCCGCUUGUAGGUGGCACGGUAGUAUUUGCAUUCCAGAAUUUAGGUUGCACGUUUGUGUAUACGUACUUAGGUCAAUGUAUCUAAACAGUGUGAUUGGACAAAAAACACAGUAUCAAUUGAACAUACUUUCCCAAACUGAGGGAUGAAUCAGGUGUAGAAAAAUAUGAAAUAAUUUUACAUACAGAUGAAAAUGAAUUUUUGAGAAUUUUUUUAAAUUUUGUAUUCACUGCACCAUAAAUGACCUAAAAGUACUAGUGGCCUUAGGUUUUUAAAAAUAGCAAAAAAAGUAAACGGUCAUGAUAAAUAUUCAAACUCAUUUCUGAAUAGUAAAAUGAAAGUAUUUCAGUUAACUGAAUGUAGAAUUUUUUGCAGUGUUAGAAAGUGGUGAAAAUUCCAAAAAGGCUAUCAUUAUCCCUUAUGGGCCAGGAAAUACUACCGUGCCACCUGUAUUACGCUACACUCAAACUCUAUGAACAAAGUGUAGCAGUCAGAUGAUAACCAGCUUAACGGACGGCCACACAAAAAAAAAACAAAUACUGAAACGGUUCACUUUCAAUAAAAAGUCCAGAAAAUGACAGAUAUAUCACGUAUCAUGAUAACACUGUUAAAUCUUAAACUUGUAUUGUUUAUAAUAUAAAUUCAAGUUCUUCGUGUACAUAUUGUAAAUAUUUCAUUUUAUAACUUCAAAAAAAAAAAAAAAUGGUGUAGAAAAUUCAGGGGAGGCACUUGCCUCCCCUGCCUCAUAGGUAGUUACGGCCCUGGCAUGCCAUAGAUAAAUAAAAUUCAAAUCAGGGACUUACGAAGUCUUUAACUGUGUAGCGGGGUUGCUUCCCCUCCUUAUAGUCCGACGGCCCCAGCUUGUCUGGCAAAACAGCCGUUGGACGUCAGAGUAGUACAGGUAGAACAUAUAAAGCCAGUCUUUAUCAACUGAGCUAGGGAAUCGAUUCUUUGGCUCAGUAGGUUAAAACACUGACUGUCAUGCAGGCGACCAGGGUUCGAAUCCUGGUGGUGAUUAUAUAAAUUUGUUGAGUAGAUAACAUGCUCUCCAGUUACAUUUGGCGCUCAACUUAAAAAUCCACGAUGGUUAUCUGGAGUAUAGCCAGGGUUUGUGUUGUUAAGAGUCAUAUAUAAAGAUAUGAUGACUCUUGUGGUGGGGGAAUAGUGUAGGGGGUUGCUUCCCUUCCUCAGUACAGGUAGAACAUAUAAAGCCAGUCUUAAUCAACUGAGCUAGGGAAUCAAUUCUUUGGCUCAAUGUGUUAAUGCACUGACUGUCACGUAGGCGACCUGGUUCGAAUCCUGGUGGUGACGAUAUAAAUUUGUAGAGUAGAAUACAACUGUCUAAGAGGGUGGUAAAGGGUUGUUUUCGUUUUUUAUUUCACAUUCAAUGUGUUCUUACUUUUUUAUUUGGCGUUCAGUCGUGCAAGACAGGAGCCUCGUUCAAAGUGUACUGCUUAUUUAAUUUUACGUGCAUCACAAUUUUCUAAUGCUUAUUAAGUUAUUUUGCGUGCUCAGUAUUUUUCAAAUAAAAUUCAAACAUUUGGCAGGGAUCGUCAAGAAAUACUUUUUAAAAGAUGAACCCAAUUAUAUCAUAAAUGUGUAUACUAAAUCGGGAAUAUCAAGUAAAACAGAGUUAAUAUACAUGUAUCUACAUUUAUACAAGAAGACAGUGACUCAGUCACAAAAGGUUCACGUUUUUAUAAAUUAAAAGUAUUUAUUCUUAGUGCAACGUUCAUGACAGAAAUUAUUUCAUGUUCAACGUGACAUGAACGUGAAAUCAUGUCUUAUUUCACGUUUUUUUUCGUGCAAGCAUCCCCUGUUUAUCACCCUCGUCUAAGUAUAAAGUCCCUGUUCAAAUGCAUUGUAUGAUUUAGAAAAUUAAAAACUGAACUGGAUUUUGCAGUGCACUUUUUUUUGCCCCUGCAAAAGAAAACAGUUAAGUUUCACCCAGGUAGUUUAAAUCACCUAUUAUUGUCAGGUAUCUAUUGUUCAUCUAUUGUCCAGCAUUGAUGUCAAGCAAUACAGCUCACUUCAAUUAUUACUUGUGGGGAACUUCUCAAACCUGUUUCCGAACUUGACUUAUUUUGGCACCUUUUGUAGGAAUGAAAAAAGUGCACCUCAUAAUCCUGUUAAUUUUAUAUUUUUCAAAAACAUCAAACAUAUUUAAAAUUUAUUUAUCUAGGGUAUGCAUGCUAUGCCUUAAAUCUUUUUUAGACUCACAGGUUUGUCUGAUCUGUACACAGAGUAAAUUUUGAGGUGAAAAAUCAGCCAUUUUAGCCAAAGGGUCCACAUGAACCUUAAUGAGAAACAUGUGCAUGUCCCAAGGACCAUUAAAUGAUGAUGUUAAAUUCAUUAAAACCACUUGGAGUCUGUUUAAUUCAAUUUUAAAUAUAAACAAUAAUGCUACUAUGUUAUAAUUAAAUAAUUCUUCUCCAUGUUUUCAGAGGAUUUUACUUAUAUAAUUUGGUCAACUGGCUAUUUCAACACCUAAUAUGUCUGAGUCACCUCAUUGGUCCAACACCUUAAUAGUUAGACACAAACUGUAAUUGAAAAUCUACUCCAUAAAAAAAAAUGAAAAGAAAGCACUUACCAAGUGUUGCAUUUGUAUUUAACAUGUGUAAGUAAUACCAUUAUCCUAUAAAUAUAAGCCAAUCAAAAGCCUUGCAAUAUUUUGCUUUAUAAUUAUAAUAAAUUCAUAGAGUGACCAAACUCUUGUAUAAAAACACUACACAAAAAGUGAAUUUGAUUGAUUGCUGUUUUCUUUAUCUCCUGCAUGUCCAGUGCCAAAUAGUUCUUCAAUCAACCAAAAAAUUCUGCGUUUGGCCAAAAAAAUUUAUGAUUUAACAUGUAUUCUUAUCAAAAUAUUCUCUCAUUCUCGGGAUUCAAGUUCAGUACAUGAAGUUGAUCAUGAGGGUAAAUAAUCUUGACAGAAAUGAAAUGGAUGAAGACUUUGCAGCUAUUUACCUCAAUACAUUCACUUAACAAAAUGCAUCCAUAUAGAUGUGAGGUUAAACAGCAACUUUAUUUCACCAAAACCAAAGACAUCUAACAGCUAACACACAUAACCUGUAAUAUUACUCUGAACAGUCACACUUUGAAAAAAGUCAGUUUCAAAUGGACCACAAAUUCACGUAAGAGAAAAGUAUAUAACAUGGAAUUCAGAUUUACUGAUAAAAUUACCAGUAAUUAGUCAGACUUUUAACUACUAGAAAUAUCAUUGGAGUAGUAUGGAUCAACUGCUUUAUAUAUAACUUUGAUGCUCUUGAACCUCGUUAUUUUGCCAGUCAGAAAUUUAAGGAAUCAAGAACAUUGCAUCAAAAUUGUAGUUUAAUUGAUGUUAAAUAUUUUGCUCAGAUCUAAAUAACACACAUACGGUAAUUUUUGAUAAUUAUAUAUUUUUUAGGUUGUGUUUAACAUCUUGAUACCAGAUCACAAUGCUGAUGUGUUUAAUCCACCAUAUGAUCAAUCUAAGGACAAUCCACUGGAUACAUGUGUUCACUAUAUAUUAGGUGGAUUCAUGAGAUGGGAUGGUCUAUAUUUCCUCCAUGUAGCUGAAAAUGGAUAUAUUUAUGAAAACAGUUUAGCCUUUUUUCCUUUGUUUCCAUGGUGUGUCAGAAUAUUAGCCAAUAGUUUAUGUUUGCCAAUGCAAUUUGUGAUGCAGUAUAGAACAGUACUUAUUGUAUCAGGAUUUAUUUUCAAUUUUUAUAUUUUCUUAAAAACCACAAACGUUUUGUUUAGACUGAGUAAAAGUAUUUUGAAGUCAGAAUCUUUAGCAUAUAAGGCUGCAUUGUUAUUUUGUUUCAAUCCAGCCAGUAUUUUCAUGUCUGCGUUUUAUUCAGAAAUAUCGUUUGCAUAUUUGACUUUUUAUUCAAUGUUGAAAUUUGAAGAAAGAAAAAGAAAUCAUUACGUGAUGUUAUCAAGUUUAAGUUGUCUUUCACGUUCUAAUGGAUUACUGACUGCUGGCUUUGAACUUCAUAAAAGGUGUCAGAAUAUUGUGAUACAUUUAUUGUAUGGUAAGAAAGACUUUAUCAGCAAAAUUUCACUCAUUUUGACAGAGAUUUUGAAAGUUAUGAUAUAUUUAAUAUUAAUUUUAUUACCCUUUCUUGUAUAUCAGUUUUACAUAAGUGAUUUGUUUUGCAAUCAAAGUGGAAAGUGGAAAAUACCAGAAUUCCUCAUUCAGUAUGGAAGACAAAGAAGCUACAACUUAGUACAUGAAACAGAUUUUGAUUGGUGCAAAAAUAGAAUACCGUUUGCAUACAGUCAUGUGCAGAAUACUCAUUGGAAUGUUGGAUUUUUGAGAUACUAUGAGUUCAGACAAAUUCCCAAUUUUAUUCUUGCUUUACCUGUGAGUGUUUUGUCUGUCUCAUCUGUUAUAUAUUACUAUAGACAUAAUAGAAGGAGAUGUCUGACAUUAGGAUUGAUACCUGAAAAGAACAUAAAAGACUCAGAGAAAAAUGGAUUUAUGAACAAAAGAAUGUUGCCAUAUAUUGCAUACUUAUUGUUCAUUACUGUAUUUGGAUGGUUUUUUAUACAUAUUCAGGUAAGUUCAGGUCUCUGUAUGGUUUUAUCAUUAGAAGAUUUUUCUUAUCAAAGUCAAGUGUACCAAAACUUUCAGGUAGCUACUUUUUACAAUGUCAGUCAG